UAACCGCAGCUCAACGGCCGGCGGCAGGAGGGGGGCGGCGGCCGGGGGCCCGGAAACGGCCCGAUCGCGGGGACCCGGGCCGGACUCCGUACCUGGGCGGGAGGCGAGGCGGAGACCGGCGGUCGGGCUCGGCGAGGAUGAGGAGCUGCCCUCGUGGAAUUCUGUGAGGAAAUGGU
Mustela erminea (ermine) is the source of this 176-nucleotide long non-coding RNA. RefSeq lists it as uncharacterized. The record is from RefSeq and is a predicted model, not a curated record. NCBI's taxonomy places the organism in Eukaryota, Metazoa, Chordata, Mammalia, Carnivora, Mustelidae. The transcript has 2 exons.